RNAcentral lists this ribosomal RNA (847 nucleotides) under Cephalotrichum inflatum. RNAcentral describes it as "eukaryotic LSU rRNA". It matches the Rfam family "Eukaryotic large subunit ribosomal RNA", at positions 68 to 942 of the family's 3401-position model. The record is from RNAcentral. Lineage: Eukaryota; Fungi; Ascomycota; Sordariomycetes; Microascales; Microascaceae.
ACAGGGAUUGCCUCAGUAACGGCGAGUGAAGCGGCAACAGCUCAAAUUUGAAAUCUGGUCCCCUCUGGGGGCCCGAGUUGUAAUUUGAAGAGGAUGCUUUUGGCGAGGCGCCUUCCGAGUGCCCUGGAACGGGACGCCACAGAGGGUGAGAGCCCCGUAUGGUAGGACGCCGAGCCUCUGUAAAGCUCCUUCGACGAGUCGAGUAGUUUGGGAAUGCUGCUCAAAAUGGGAGGUAAACCCCUUCUAAAGCUAAAUAUUGGCCAGAGACCGAUAGCGCACAAGUAGAGUGAUCGAAAGAUGAAAAGCACUUUGAAAAGAGAGUUAAACAGCACGUGAAAUUGUUGAAAGGGAAGCGCUUGCGACCAGACUUGCGCCCGUCGGAUCAACCGUCCCUCGUGGGCGGCGCACUCCGGCGGGCUCAGGCCAGCAUCAGUUUUCCCGGGGGGAGAAAGGCGGUGGGAAUGUGGCUCUUCGGAGUGUUAUAGCCCGCCGCGUAAUGCCCUCGGGGGGACUGAGGACCGCGCGUAUGCAAGGAUGCUGGCGUAAUGGUCGUCAGCGACCCGUCUUGAAACACGGACCAAGGAGUCGUCCUAAUAUGCGAGUGUACGGGUGUAAAACCCCUGCGCGUAAUGAAAGUGAACGGAGGUGAGAGCUUCGGCGCAUCAUCGACCGAUCCUGAUGUUCUCGGAUGGAUUUGAGUAAGAGCAUAUUGGGCCGGACCCGAAAGAAGGUGAACUAUGCCUGUAUAGGGUGAAGCCAGAGGAAACUCUGGUGGAGGCUCGCAGCGGUUCUGACGUGCAAAUCGAUCGUCAAAUAUGGGCAUGGGGGCGAAAGACUAAUCGAACCU